Molecule: ribosomal RNA, 460 nt
Filed under: uncultured bacterium
Lineage: Bacteria
Description: partial 16S ribosomal RNA
Rfam family: Bacterial small subunit ribosomal RNA
Source: RNAcentral
CCUACGGGUGGCAGCAGUGAGGAAUAUUGGUCAAUGGACGAGAGUCUGAACCAGCCAAGUAGCGUGAAGGAUGACUGCCCUAUGGGUUGUAAACUUCUUUUAUAUGGGAAUAAAAUGUUCCACGUGUGGGUUUUUGUAUGUACCAUCUGAAUAAGGAUCGGCUAACUCCGUGCCAGCAGCCGCGGUAAUACGGAGGAUACGAGCGUUAUCCGGAUUUAUUGGGUUUAAAGGGAGCGUAGGUGGGUUGUUAAGUCAGUUGUGAAAGUUUGCGGCUCAACCGUAAAAUUGCAGUUGAAACGGGCAGGCUUGAGUACAGUAGAGGUGGGCGGAAUUCGUGGUGUAGCGGUGAAAUGCUUAGAUAUCACGAAGAACUCCGAUUGCGAAGGCAGUUCACUGGACUGCAACUGACACUGAGGCUCGAAAGUGUGGGUAUCGAACAGGAUUAGAUACCCCGGUAGUC